GGAAUAUGUUCAAACUCCGAGCACAAUUCUGGGCAUUCGGAUACCAAUUAUUCUGUCUGAAGAGCUUCAAACAAGUCUGACAAGUACAAUAUUUCACCGAUGUUCUUCAAAAUCUACCAAGAAAUUAACGAUGUCUAUACAUCAACCACACGUUCAGCUGAUGAAUUCGUGUAAAGCACCAAGAGGCAACAAAGUGCCAUUUCAAUAAAUAGAGUCGUUCGCCAAAAAUCAUACAUCUCUAGUGAAAAGAUGUCAACACAAUUGCAUUUUUGCGAGUUAGAAUAUGGGUAUUGGAAAAAAUGAAUUUCAUUUUCAGAAGGAGAGUAGAUCUAUAGACGCUCCUCUGCUUUGCCUAGAAAAAAAAUUAUUUCUUCACUUCCUCGUAUUCAGCCUCAGGUGGUGAUUGAUCUCCUCCUUGUGAACCACUUGAGGCACCACCAGAACCGCCACCAGUCAUGUGCUCUCCAAUCUUGGAAACAGCUUUGUUCGCUGCAUCAAGUUUCAACUUGAUAUCAUCAAUGUUCUCAGCUCCCAUUGCUGCUCUCAAGUCCGAAACAGCUGUCUCAAUUUCUGUAACCACCUCUGCCGGGACCUUGUCCCUGUAUUCAUUCAAGCUCUUUUCAAUGCUGUAUAUGGUAGUAUCUGCACUGUUCCUGAUAUCAAUAAGCGUCUUGCGCUCUUGAUCCUUCUGCGCAUGCAUCUCAGCUUCCCUGACCAUCUUGUUUAUCUCAUCUUCCGACAGACCACCAGAUGACCGAAUGCUGAUCUGCUGCUCUUUGCCAGUAGCCUUAUCCUUGGCGGACACAGUCACCAUUCCAUUUGCAUCUAUGUCAAACAUCACCUCUAUCUGAGGCAUGCCUCUUGGCGCCGGAGGGAGACCUACAAGUUCGAAUUCACCCAAGACCUUAUUAUCAGAUGCCAUUUCACGUUCACCUUGUAAUACC
Molecule: unclassified non-coding RNA, 944 nt
Filed under: Hevea brasiliensis (rubber tree)
Lineage: Eukaryota; Viridiplantae; Streptophyta; Magnoliopsida; Malpighiales; Euphorbiaceae
Source: RNAcentral